CAGAGCCCAAUGCUGCCAGAACUCACAAGCCGUGAGAUUGUGACCUGAGCUGAAGUCCUGCGAUUAACACCCGAGCCACCCAGGUGCCCUUAACUCUUCCCUCUUGAUAUUCGCAUCCCGUGCACUUUUCUCCACCUUGAUGCACGCUGACCAGUACAAUCUUAUGACUGAGAGAACAUGGAAACGAUGAGGUGUUACUUUGGAGGCUAGGUCAUAGAAGGCAUUGCCAGUUGUGCCUUCCUCUGUCCUGGAUCACUGGCUCUGGGAAAGACAGUUGUCACAAACACAGUUAAGCAGCCUCGUGAAGAGAUCUUUGUGGUGAAGAACUGAGGCCUCCUGUCAACGGCCAUCACCAGAUUGCUAGCUCUGUCCACAUUCCAUUUUGGAAUUGGCUCUUGCUGCCCCCACCAAGCCUUCAGAUGAGCACAGCCCUGGCGGACACGUCCCGGGAAACCCUGAGCCACAACUACCCAGCUGGUGAUUUGUAGCUCUGGCUCAGUCCCCAGGGAGCUGAAUCAUGGUGCUUUUGCUAACGAUGCCUCAUGCGGAUACCACGUGCUCCCUCUUUGCCCAGAAUGCCUACCUUGGGAUUUGGGAUCUCCGACUACACUGGACAACCUUGCCCAUAACUCCAUGGCCCCUGACCCUGGCCUCCAGAUGCGGGACCUCCGUGUUCUUCACCGUCUGCUUUUACUCCAGAUCUUCAGUGUGAAUUGACACAGGCAUCAAAGGAAAUAGCACGUAAAAGAAACAGCACAGAGUUCCCCACUGAUUUUCUACAACAUGAGAACAAUUAUUCUACAGACUCCGUUAUAACUGCUCGGACAUUAUCCGUUGCUCAGCUGGGAGAGCUCAGCCUGCAAGG
Long non-coding RNA from Leopardus geoffroyi (Geoffroy's cat), 865 nucleotides. RefSeq lists it as uncharacterized. Lineage: Eukaryota; Metazoa; Chordata; Mammalia; Carnivora; Felidae. The record is from RefSeq and is a predicted model, not a curated record. The transcript is spliced from 4 exons.